This 252-nucleotide ribosomal RNA is filed under the name uncultured Bacteroidales bacterium. RNAcentral describes it as "partial 16S ribosomal RNA". It matches the Rfam family "Bacterial small subunit ribosomal RNA", at positions 524 to 776 of the family's 1533-position model. Lineage: Bacteria; Pseudomonadati; Bacteroidota; Bacteroidia; Bacteroidales. The record is from RNAcentral.
UACGGAGGAUGCGAGCGUUAUCCGGAUUUAUUGGGUUUAAAGGGUGCGCAGGCGGCGUGUCAAGUCAGCGGUAAAAUGUCGGGGCUCAACCCCGGCCGGCCGUUGAAACUGGCGUGCUCGAGUUGGAGAGAAGUAUGCGGAAUUCGUGGUGUAGCGGUGAAAUGCUUAGAGAUCAUACAGAACACCGAUUGCGAAGGCAGCUUACCAAGCUACUUCUGACGUUGAGGCACGAAAGCGUGGGGAGCAAACAGG